UGGUAAUACAUCAGUCAAAAGCAAUAAAUUUAAACUUAAUGAAAUCUCAAUUUGCCUACAGUGCAUUUCACUUUGACAUGUUCUAUAUUGCCACGGUGCUUUGAUAAAGUUUUUUAAAAUGCAAAGAAAGUGUCUGUAAGGCUAAAGACCAGACUUGGUACCAUUGUGGCCAAGGCAACAUUACAGUACUUAAAUUUCAUCACUCUAUGCCCCGUGGCAGGCAGAGCCCCGGCGCUAACACAGGUUCAGUUUUCAUUAUCAUCAUAUGAUUACGCAUUUUACUGCAUUUAACUGAUAAUACAACUACCAGCUCACCUUAAAAGAAUUAGCUUGGAGGUUUCAUUGCUUUCCAAAUGGAAUUCAUUUGACAAACAAAUGACAAUUAGCCUAGUCUCCCUGUUCUGCGUCAGGAUGCUUUUUGAUUGAACCU
This 430-nucleotide long non-coding RNA is filed under the name Homo sapiens (human). Its description in RNAcentral is "HSALNT0168843". Lineage: Eukaryota; Metazoa; Chordata; Mammalia; Primates; Hominidae. The record is from RNAcentral.